Molecule: ribosomal RNA, 460 nt
Filed under: uncultured bacterium
Lineage: Bacteria
Description: partial 16S ribosomal RNA
Rfam family: Bacterial small subunit ribosomal RNA
Source: RNAcentral
CCUACGGGAGGCAGCAGUGAGGAAUAUUGGUCAAUGGACGAGAGUCUGAACCAGCCAAGUAGCGUGAAGGAUGACUGCCCUAUGGGUUGUAAACUUCUUUUAUAUGGGAAUAAAAUGUUCCACGUGUGGGAUUUUGUAUGUACCAUAUGAAUAAGGAUCGGCUAACUCCGUGCCAGCAGCCGCGGUAAUACGGAGGAUCCGAGCGUUAUCCGGAUUUAUUGGGUUUAAAGGGAGCGUAGGUGGAUUGUUAAGUCAGUUGUGAAAGUUUGCGGCUCAACCGUAAAAUUGCAGUUGAAACUGGCAGUCUUGAGUACAGUAGAGGUGGGCGGAAUUCGUGGUGUAGCGGUGAAAUGCCUAGAUAUCACGAAGAACUCCGAUUGCGAAGGCAGUUCACUGGACUGCAACUGACACUGAGGCUCGAAAGUGUGGGUAUCAAACAGGAUUAGAUACCCCUGUAGUC